RNAcentral lists this ribosomal RNA (387 nucleotides) under uncultured bacterium. RNAcentral's name for it is "bacterial SSU rRNA". It matches the Rfam family "Bacterial small subunit ribosomal RNA", at positions 28 to 417 of the family's 1533-position model. The record is from RNAcentral.
GACGAACGCUGGCGGCGUGCUUAACACAUGCAAGUCGAGCGGUAAGGCCCUUUCGGGGGUACACGAGCGGCGAACGGGUGAGUAACACGUGGGUGACCUGCCUCUAGCUCUGGGAUAAGCCCGGGAAACUGGGUCUAAUACUGGAUAUGACUCCAUGACGCAUGUUGUGGGGUGAAAGCCUUGUGCGGCUAGAGAUGGGCCCGCGGCCUAUCAGCUUGUUGGUGGGGUGAUGGCCUACCAAGGCGACGACGGGUAGCCGGCCUGAGAGGGCGACCGGCCACACUGGGACUGAGACACGGCCCAGACUCCUACGGGAGGCAGCAGUGGGGAAUCUUGCGCAAUGGGCGAAAGCCUGACGCAGCGACGCCGCGUGAGGGAUGACGGCCU